GCUGGGUGGAUUAGUGGCGAACGGGUGAGUAACACGUGAGUAACCUGCCCUUAACUCUGGGAUAAGCCUGGGAAACUGGGUCUAAUACCGGAUAGGAGCGCCCACCGCAUGGUGGGUGUUGGAAAGAUUUAUCGGUUUUGGAUGGACUCGCGGCCUAUCAGCUUGUUGGUGAGGUAAUGGCUCACCAAGGCGACGACGGGUAGCCGGCCUGAGAGGGUGACCGGCCACACUGGGACUGACACACGGCCCAGACUCCUACGGGAGGCAGCAGUGGGGAAUAUUGCACAAUGNGUGNCAAGCCUGAUGCAGCGACGCCGNCAUGAGGGAUGACGGCCUUCGGGUUGUAAACCUCUUUCAGUACGGAAGAAGCGAAAGUGACGGUACCUGCAGAAGAAGCACCGGCUAACUACGUGCCAGCAGCCGCGGUAAUACGUAAGGUGCGAGCGUUAUCCGGAAUUAUUGGGCGUAAAGAGCUCGUAAGCGGUUUGUCGCGUCUGUCGUGAAAGUCCGGGGCUUAACCCCGGAUCUGCGGUGGGUACGGGCAGACUACAGUGCAGUAGGGGAGACUGGAAUUCCUGGUGUAGCGGUGGAAUGCGCAGAUAUCACCGAGGAACACCGAUGGCGAAGGCAGGUCUCUGGGCUGUAACUGACGCUGAGGAGCGAAAGCAUGGGGAGCGAACAGGAUUAGAUACCCUGGUAGUCCAUGCCGUAAACGUUGGGCACUAGGUGUGGGGGACCAUUCCACGGUUUCCGCGCCGCAGCUAACGCAUUAAGUGCCCCGCCUGGGGGAGUACGGCCGCAAGGCUAAAACUCAAAGGAAUUGACAGGGGCCCGCACAACCGGCGGGAGCAUGCGGAUUAAUUCGAUGCAACGCGAAGAAACCUUACCAAGGCUUGACAUGUUCUCGAUCGCCGUAGAGAUACGGUUUCCCCUUUGGGGCGGGUUCACAGGUGGUGCAUGGUUGUCGUCAGCUCGUGUCGUGAGAUGUUGGGUUAAGUCCCGCAACGAGCGCAACCCUCGUUCCAUGUUGCCAGCACGUAGUGGUGGGGACUCAUGGGAGACUGCCGGGGUCAACUCGGAGGAAGGUGAGGANNACGUCAAAUCAUCAUGCCCCCUAUGUCUUGGGCUUCACGCAUGCUACAAUGGCCGGUACAAUGGGUUGCGAUACUGUGAGGUGGAGCUAAUCCCAAAAAGCCGGUCUCAGUUCGGAUUGGGGUCUGCAACUCGACCCCAUGAAGUCGGAGUCGCUAGUAAUCGCAGAUCAGCAACGCUGCGGUGAAUACGUUCCCGGGCUUUGUACACCCCGCCCGUCAAGUCCCGAAAGUUGGUAACACCCGAAGCCGGUGGCCUAA
The sequence is a ribosomal RNA, 1352 nucleotides long. It matches the Rfam family "Bacterial small subunit ribosomal RNA", at positions 82 to 1438 of the family's 1533-position model.